This 183-nucleotide small RNA is filed under the name Arabidopsis thaliana (thale cress). The record is from RNAcentral. Lineage: Eukaryota; Viridiplantae; Streptophyta; Magnoliopsida; Brassicales; Brassicaceae.
AUACGAUUUUAUUGGAUGUAGUAACCGAUGUGAUCAUACGAGCACUAAUGCACCUGAUCCCAUCGGAACUCUAUAGUUAACCGUGCUUGGGCGAGAGUUGUAUUAGGAUGGGUGACCUCCUAGGAAGUCCUCGUGUUGCAUCCCUUUUUUUUUUUUUUAGUUUUUAUCUUUUUUUUGUUAAAA